Molecule: ribosomal RNA, 464 nt
Filed under: uncultured bacterium
Lineage: Bacteria
Description: bacterial SSU rRNA
Rfam family: Bacterial small subunit ribosomal RNA
Source: RNAcentral
CCUACGGGCUGCACCAGUGGGGAAUUUUGGACAAUGGGCGCAAGCCUGAUCCAGCAAUGCCGCGUGCAGGAUGAAGGCCUUCGGGUUGUAAACUGCUUUCGUACGGAACGAAAAGCCCUGGGCUAAUACCCUGGGGUCAUGACGGUACCGUAAGAAUAAGCACCGGCUAACUACGUGCCAGCAGCCGCGGUAAUACGUAGGGUGCAAGCGUUAAUCGGAAUUACUGGGCGUAAAGCGUGCGCAGGCGGUUUUGUAAGACAGAGGUGAAAUCCCCGGGCUCAACCUGGGAACUGCCUUUGUGACUGCAAGGCUAGAGUACGGCAGAGGGGGAUGGAACUCCGCGUGUAGCAGUGAAAUGCGUAGAUAUGCGGAGGAACACCGAUGGCGAAGGCAAUCCCCUGGGCCUGUACUGACGCUCAUGCACGAAAGCGUGGGAGCAAACAGGAUUAGAUACCCGCGUAGUC